UGGUUUGGCUACAGUGGGGAGAGACAUGCUCUCCCAUAGUGUUUGCUUUAUUUCUUUUAUUUUUUGUUCUAAUUCAUUUUUUACUAAAUUUGGUUAUAGUGUAUUUUUUUCUUUCUUGCUCCCCAGCAGUUUGACUACCUGGGGAGGCGGUUUUUUUUUGUUAUUAUUUUGGUAGUUUGUUGGAUAGUCUUUGCUACAAUAACAAAGACAAUGGCUGAAUACGAUAGAUAAUUCAAAGAAUACACAAUAAUACUUGAAACUGAGAAAAUUAAAGGACUGAAAGCAACUGAUAUUUUGAAGACGGUCGUUGAAAUAGUUGGACAUGUAAAAUUACUUGCUUUAAGACCACGACAACAGGCGGAAUACGUGUUAACAUUUGCCGAUAAUGAGUCAAUGAAACUAGUAGAAGAUGGAAUUUUAAUCAGUGGAACGCAUUGUGAAACCAGACUGCUUGAAAAUAAUGACAUCGUCGUGUCAUUUCUGUAUCUGCCUGUUUAUUUAUCAGACAGCAUUAUAACAGAAAAACUCAGACUGUGGGGUGUCACACCCCUACAUCCAAUUAGAAGGAGAUAUUACCCAGGAACAGAUAUAACCGACGGGACAAGAUAUGUAAAGGUGCGAUUCCCAAAGGAAAUCGUGUCCUUGCCAUACAGCACUAAAUUCAUCACAGCAGAGGGUCCACAAUAUGUCAGAAUCAUACAUGAUCGGCAGGUGAAGACUUGCCGAUUAUGUAUGAACACUGGACAUAUAAUGAAGGACUGCCCAAAGUUUGUAUGCAGAGAGUGCUGUGAACAGGGACACCACGCGAGGGACUGCACUGCGGCUAAGUGUCCAGACUGCAGGAGAGCACUCAUCAGCUGUGAAUGCCAGGAUGAGGGGGAAUCAGCUGAACCUAUGGAGGAAACACCGGCAGAAAUAGAAGAUACUGAGUCGGAACAUCAGCAAAGCCGGGUGACGGACACAGGGAAAAGCAAUGACCGAGUGGCAGAGCAACAGGUCGGAGCAGCGAGAAAGACAGUAUCUACAGAAACGAAAGAUGACGACAUAGAAAAGGAAUCGGCAAUGGACGAGGAUACAGAUCUGGAAUUAAAAAUGGUAAAAGUAAGAGGAACACUGGAUAACAAUGGACGGACGACGAGUACAGAACGACGCGGAACUAAUUGGGGAAGAAAACUUGGAGACGGAUGUGCGGAAGACGACAGACUGGAGAGUAGAAGGAGAAAAAGAAUAACGACACUCAAUAUACAAAAAGUUAUAGAAAAACAGAGAGAAAGAAGGGAACUAAUGAAAGGACUAAAAAAGAAUCUAAGGACUGGCACGUUUGAUGGGCUAACGGAAGAAAUGUUGGAAUAAUGACUACUGCAUUGUUGCCAUUAAACACCUCCGUAAGGAUGGCUCGGACCUGUACAUCACCGUUCCUGGCGAGACCUGCAAGCUCCAUCUAGAGGUGGCUUUAAUGCCAGCAGCGGCGACACUCGGCACAUGUGGCAAGGCAUCCAGUCCAUCACCAACUACAGGCCAGCUCCACCUGCCUGUGACAGUGAUGCCUCCCUUCCAGAUGUGCUGAACAGCUUCUACGCUCGGUUCGAGGCACAAAAUGACGUGACAGCGAGGAAGACCAGCCCUUCUUCAGAGGACCAGGUGCUCUGUCUCACCACGGCUGAUGUGAGGAAAACUCUACACAGAGUUAACCCACGGAAAGCUGCUGGACCAGACAACAAUUCUGGCAGAGUGCUCAGGGAAUGUGCAGAACAGCUAGUAGACGUCUUCACGGACAUCUUCAACAUCUCCCCGAGCAGCGCCGUCGUCCCAACGUGCCUAAAGUCAACCACUAUCAUCCCCGUGCCGAAAAAGUCUCCAGUGUCCUGUCUCAAUGACUACCGUCCCGUUGCACUCACACCCAUCAACAUGAAGUGCUUCGAGAGGCUCGUCAUGAGACACAUUAAGAACCUGCUGCCCCCGUCACUUGACCCCAUGCAGUUUGCGUAUCGUCCAAAUCGAUCCACAGACGAUGCCAUCACCACAACCCUCCAUCUGGCCCUCACACACCUGGACAAUAAAUACACUUACCUACGAAUGCUGUUCAUUGACUUCAGUUCAGCAUUCAAUACGAUCAUUCCUCAGCACCUGAUCUAGAAGCUGAGUCUGCUGGGUAUCAACACCUCCCUCUGCAAUUGGAUCCUGGAUUUCCUGACUGGAAGACCUCAGUCAGUCCGGAUCGGGAACAGCAUCUCCAGCACCACCACACUGAGGGCUGUGUGCUCAGUCCACUGCUGUUCACUCUGCUGACUCACGACUGUGCAGCAAUGCACAGCUCUAAUCAUAUCAUCAAGUUCGCCGAUGACACGACCGUGGUGGGUCUCAUCAGCAAGAACGACGAGUCAGCAUAUAGAGAGGAGGUGCAACAUCUAACAGCCUGGUGUAAAGUCAAUAACCUGUCUCUGAACGUCGACAAGACUAAAGAGAUGGUUGUUGACUUCAGGAGAGCAAAGAGUGAACAUUCUCCACUGAACAUUGAUGGGUCCAUCGUGGAGAUCGUCAAGAGCACCAAAUUCCUUGGUGUCCACCUGGCAGAGGACCUCACCUGGUCACUCAACACCAGCUCCAUCACCAGGAAAGCCCAGCAGCGUCUCUAUUUCCUGCGAAGGCUGAGGAAGGCUCAUCUCCUACCUCCCAUCCUGACCACCUUCUACAGAGGGACCAUCGAGAGCAUCCUUAACAGCUGCAUCCGCAGACAUUUACUCCACUCGCUGCAUCCGCAAAGCUAACAGCAUUGUGGAUGAUCCCACACACCCCUCACAUGCACUCUUCACCCUUCUACCAUCUGGAAAGAGGUACCGAAGCAUUCGGACCCGCACAACCAAACUGUUGAACAGAUACUUCCCUGAGGCUUUCAGAUAUCUCAACAGAGAACUGAGCUGAGCUGGACACACACACACACACACAACCAAGAUCUGAUCUCAACAUAGAACUGAGCUGAGCUGGACACACACACACACACGUACAACCAAGAUCUGAUCUCAACAGAGAACUGAGCUGAGCUGGACACACACACACACACGUACAACCAAGAUCUGAUCUCAACAGAGAACUGAACUGUGCUGGACAUGUACUCGCACACACAUACAUAACGCACAUGCACAAAAGCUGAGAACUGUGUUCCAAGAGGAACUGAACUGUGCUGGACACACACACACACAUACUAAAUUGUCCUGUUUGCAUGCACAUUCACUUUACAUUUCACUUUAUAUUAAUCCUGUUUACAUGUCAAUUUCAUAUUUAUAUUCACUGUAUACACUGUUCUUUGCGCAAAGUGUCAGUUUUAUAUCUGCAUGUCUAUAUGUUGUUUGUCUGCACUGUCUUGUCUUGUCGUCCUGUGCACUUCUGUUGUAUGUCUAGUUUAUUUCUUGCACCUUAAGUAUAGUUUAGUUUUAUCUCUAUGUUUAGCUUUAUGUUUGUCCGCGUCACUGUACUUUGUCUGUGUUAUGUGUAGCACCUCUGGUCUAGGAGGAACGUUGUUUCAAUUCACUGUGUACU
This is an RNA transcript of Hemibagrus wyckioides, 3537 nucleotides long. RefSeq lists it as uncharacterized. Lineage: Eukaryota; Metazoa; Chordata; Actinopteri; Siluriformes; Bagridae. The transcript is spliced from 3 exons. The record is from RefSeq and is a predicted model, not a curated record.